UACGAAGGGUCCAAGCGUUAAUCGGAAUUACUGGGCGUAAAGCGUGCGCAGGCGGUUGUGCAAGACCGAUGUGAAAUCCCCGGGCUUAACCUGGGAAUUGCAUUGGUGACUGCACGGCUAGAGUGUGUCAGAGGGGGGUAGAAUUCCACGUGUAGCAGUGAAAUGCGUAGAGAUGUGGAGGAAUACCGAUGGCGAAGGCAGCCCCCUGGGAUAACACUGACGCUCAUGCACGAAAGCGUGGGGAGCAAACAGG
This 253-nucleotide ribosomal RNA is filed under the name uncultured bacterium. Its description in RNAcentral is "partial 16S ribosomal RNA". It matches the Rfam family "Bacterial small subunit ribosomal RNA", at positions 524 to 776 of the family's 1533-position model. The record is from RNAcentral.